GUACCCGCUGAACUUAAGCAUAUAACUAAGCGGUGGAAAAGAAACUAACAAGGAUUCCCUCAGUAACGGCGAGUGAAGCGGGAAGAGCUCAAGCUUAAAAUCUCCGAGAUGAUUUCUCGGCGAAUUGUAGUCUAUGGAAGCGAUGUCAGAGACGUCGGCAGGUUCAAGUUCCUUGGAAGAGGACAGCAUGGAGGGUUACACUCCCGUUUGAGCCGAGUCGAUGUCACGUACGACACGCUCUCUUCGAGUCGCGUUGUUUGGGAUUGCAGCGCAAAGUAGGUGGUAAACUCCAUCGAAAGCUAAAUACCGGUAGAGACCGAUAGCAAACAAGUACCGUGAGGGA
Molecule: ribosomal RNA, 343 nt
Filed under: Wilsoniana amaranthi
Lineage: Eukaryota; Oomycota; Peronosporomycetes; Albuginales; Albuginaceae
Description: LSU rRNA
Rfam family: Eukaryotic large subunit ribosomal RNA
Source: RNAcentral